GACCAAUGCCUAGUGGCGGACGGCUGAGUAACGCGUGAGUGACCUGCCCUUAAGUGGGGGACAACACCGAGAAAUUGGUGCUAAUACCGCAUAAUCUCUGCUCCUCAAUGGGAGCAGAAGAAAGGCCUUGUGCCGCUUUUGGAGGGGCUCGCGUUCUAUCAGGUAGUUGGUGAGGUAACGGCUCACCAAGCCUUCGACGGAUAGCCGGAGUGAGAGCUCGAUCGGCCAGAGGGGGACUGAGACACGGCCCCCACUCCUACGGGAGGCAGCAGCAGGGAAUCUUGCACAAUGGGCGAAAGCCUGAUGCAGCGACGCCGCGUGAGGGAAGAAGGCUCUAGGGUCGUAAACCUCUUUUCUAAGGGAAGAGCAAGGACGGUACCUUAGGAAUAAGCCACGGCUAACUACGUGCCAGCAGCCGCGGUAAUACGUAGGUGGCGAGCGUUGUCCGGAAUUACUGGGCGUAAAGGGCCUGUAGGCGGCAUGGUAAGUCCGUAGUGAAAUCUCCCGGCUUAACUGGGAGCGGUCUAUGGAUACUGCCAAGCUAGAGAUCAUCAGAGGAGAGCGGAAUUCCCGGUGUAGUGGUGAAAUGCGUAGAUAUCGGGAGGAACACCAGUGGCGAAAGCGGCUCUCUGGGGUGGUUCUGACGCUGAGGGGCGAAAGCGUGGGGAGCAAACCGGAUUAGAUACCCGGGUAGUCCACGCCCUAAACGAUGAAUGCUAAGUCUCCGGGGUAUCCACCCCCUGUGGGCUGUAGUUAACGCGUUAAGCAUUCCGCCUGGGGACUACGGCCGCAAGGCUAAAACUCAAAGGAAUUGACGGGACCCCGCACAAGCAGCG
Molecule: ribosomal RNA, 836 nt
Filed under: uncultured Chloroflexota bacterium
Lineage: Bacteria; Bacillati; Chloroflexota
Description: bacterial SSU rRNA
Rfam family: Bacterial small subunit ribosomal RNA
Source: RNAcentral